AUUGAACGCUGGCGGCAUGCUUUACACAUGCAAGUCGAGCGGGGUGAGGGGGCAACCUCUCAUCUAGUGGCGAACGGGUGAGUAAUGCAUCGGAACGUGUCCCGUAGUGGGGGAUAACCCGGCGAAAGCCGGACUAAUACCGCAUAUGCUCUACGGAGGAAAGUGGGGGACCUGUAAGGGCCUCACGCUAUGGGAGCGGCCGAUGUCCGAUUAGCUUGUUGGUGAGGAAUGGCUCACCAAGGCGACGAUCGGUAGCUGGUCUGAGAGGAUGAUCAGCCACACUGGGACUGAGACACGGCCCAGACUCCUACGGAGGCAGCAGUGGGAAUUUUGGACAAUGGGGCAACCCUGAUCCAGCCAUGCCGCGUGCGGGAAGAAGGCCU
RNAcentral lists this ribosomal RNA (383 nucleotides) under uncultured bacterium. RNAcentral's name for it is "bacterial SSU rRNA". It matches the Rfam family "Bacterial small subunit ribosomal RNA", at positions 30 to 417 of the family's 1533-position model. The record is from RNAcentral.